CAAGUACUCUUUAUUUUUACAAAAAGAGAUAUUUGUUUAAAAAGAAAAAAAAACAUAACUUUUCCUCUAAGGUGGUUAAAAUGUGGGUAGGAAAGCAGUAAUUAUAGUGUAUUGAUAAAUGUUGAAGGAAACCACUGGGAGGGCGUCAUAGAGACCACAGAAGCGACAUGUGAAAGUUGGUUUAGAAGUGGAAGUAAGGAGACAGAAGCAGCUCUAAGCAGCCUCAUUUGUGUGUGUGUAUGUGUGUUUUAAUGGUGAGGAUUUUCGUCCUUGAAUAUCUAAUAGUAUGACAUUUUGAAUGAGUUUACUAGUAUCUUAAGGAGCCAUAGGUCAUUGUUUAGAGAUUAUUUA
Molecule: long non-coding RNA, 351 nt
Filed under: Bos taurus (domestic cattle)
Lineage: Eukaryota; Metazoa; Chordata; Mammalia; Artiodactyla; Bovidae
Description: long non-coding RNA NONBTAT007634
Source: RNAcentral